GACAAGGUGGCCGAGUGGUUAAGGCGUUUGACUCGAAAUCAAAUUCAUUCGUGAGCCAGGGUUCAAAUCCCUGCCUUGUCG
Molecule: transfer RNA, 81 nt
Filed under: Aspergillus lentulus
Lineage: Eukaryota; Fungi; Ascomycota; Eurotiomycetes; Eurotiales; Aspergillaceae
Description: tRNA-Ser
Rfam family: tRNA
About the family: Transfer RNA (tRNA) molecules are approximately 80 nucleotides in length. Their secondary structure includes four short double-helical elements and three loops (D, anti-codon, and T loops).
Source: RNAcentral